AUUGAACGCUGGCGGAAUGCUUUACACAUGCAAGUCGAGCGGCAGCACGGGGGCAACCCUGGUGGCGAGCGGCGAACGGGUGAGUAACACAUCGGAACAUGCCCAGUCGUGGGGGAUAACACUUCGAAAGAAGUGCUAAUACCGCAUACGUCCUGAGGGAGAAAGCGGGGGAUCGCAAGACCUCGCGCGAUUGGAGUGGCCGAUGUCAGAUUAGCUAGUUGGUGGGGUAAAGGCCUACCAAGGCAACGAUCUGUAGCUGGUCUGAGAGGAUGAUCAGCCACACUGGGACUGAGACACGGCCCAGACUCCUACGGGAGGUAGCAGUGGGGAAUUUUGGACAAUGGGGGCAACCCUGAUCCAGCCAUUCCGCGUGAGUGAAGAAGGCCUUCGGGUUGUAAAGCUCUUUCGGCAGGAACGAAACGGUGAGCUCUAACAUAGCUUGCUAAUGACGGUACCUGAAAAAGAAGCACCGGCUAACUACGUG
RNAcentral lists this ribosomal RNA (484 nucleotides) under uncultured bacterium. RNAcentral describes it as "partial 16S ribosomal RNA". It matches the Rfam family "Bacterial small subunit ribosomal RNA", at positions 30 to 507 of the family's 1533-position model. The record is from RNAcentral.